Molecule: ribosomal RNA, 256 nt
Filed under: uncultured bacterium
Lineage: Bacteria
Description: partial 16S ribosomal RNA
Rfam family: Bacterial small subunit ribosomal RNA
Source: RNAcentral
GUCCACGCCUUAAACUAUGGAUACUAAGUGUCGGCGGUUUACCGCCGGUGCCGCAGCUAACGCAAUAAGUAUCCCACCUGGGGAGUACGUUCGCAAGAAUGAAACUCAAAGGAAUUGACGGGGCCCGCACAAGCGGUGGAGCAUGUGGUUUAAUUCGAUGAUACGCGAGGAACCUUACCAAGGCUUAAAUGUAGUUUGACCGUUUUGGAAACAGAACUUUCGCAAGACAAAUUACAAGGUGCUGCAUGGUUGUCGU